GUGAGGAAUAUUGGUCAAUGGUCGGAAGACUGAACCAGCCAUGCCGCGUGCAGGAAGACGGUCCUAUGGAUUGUAAACUGCUUUUAUUCGGGGAUAAACCUCCUUACGUGUAGGGAGCUGAAGGUACCGAAAGAAUAAGCACCGGCUAACUCCGUGCCAGCAGCCGCGGUAAUACGGAGGGUGCAAGCGUUAUCCGGAAUCAUUGGGUUUAAAGGGUCCGCAGGCGGGCUAUCAAGUCAGAGGUGAAAUCCCACAGCUUAACUGUGGAACUGCCUUUGAGACUGAUGGUCUUGAAUUAAGUGGGCGUUGGCGGAAUAUGACAUGUAGCGGUGAAAUGCAUAGAUAUGUCAUGGAACACCGAAAGCGAAGGCAGCUAACGAUACUUAUAUUGACGCUCAUGGACGAAAGCGUGGGUAGCGAACAGGAUUAGAAACCCGUGUAGUCC
Molecule: ribosomal RNA, 445 nt
Filed under: uncultured bacterium
Lineage: Bacteria
Description: partial 16S ribosomal RNA
Rfam family: Bacterial small subunit ribosomal RNA
Source: RNAcentral